Molecule: long non-coding RNA, 3411 nt
Organism: Oncorhynchus keta (chum salmon)
Lineage: Eukaryota; Metazoa; Chordata; Actinopteri; Salmoniformes; Salmonidae
Exons: 3
Source: RefSeq, a predicted model, not a curated record
UAACAGAUUGUGAUCUUCAUGUUUAGUUUUUGAGCAGGAAAAAACAUUUCGUUUUGUGGAGCCAUCAUUCCAAGUCCCAUCUCCUUGACCUGGUUGUCCGAGGCUACAAUCAAAGUUGUAAAUAAUAAAAAUACACUUUUUUUCAAUUUAUGUUUAUGUCCUACAUUAGAGUACUAUAAAACAGUAUAUAAUGUAGAAAAAAACGAAGAAUGUAAAAACUAUACAAAACUGGAAUAAAACAGAUUUUAUUGAACUACUUUUGCAUAUUUACAAAGCCCUGUAGAAAAAUGACUGGCACUGAAACCCUUGACCGUUUACACGUUUGGUUAUGGCCUUAUUCUAAAAAUUGAUUACAUUGUUUUUUCCCCCUCAUCAAAUCUACACACAAUACCCCAUAAUGCCAAAGCAAAAAUAGGUUUUUAGAAAAUGGUCCAAAUGUAUAAAAAAAAUAUAUAUAUAUCACAUUCAGAACCUUUACUCAGUACUUUGUUGAAGCACAUUUGCCAGCGAUUACAGCCUUGAGUUUUCUUGGGUAUGACAGUACAAGCUUGGCACACCUGUAUUUGGGGAGUUUCUCCCAUUCUCCUCUGCAGAUCCUAUCAAGCCCUUUCAGGUUGGAUGGGGAGUGUCGCUGCACAGCUAUUUUCAGGUCUCUCCAGAGAUGUUCGAUCAGUGCUGCAGACAAGGUUGUCCUUCUGGAAAAUUCUCCCAUCUCCACAGAUUAACUCUGGAGCUCUGUCAGAGUGACCAUUGGGUUCCUGGUCACCUCCCUGACCAAGGCCCUUCUCCCCUGAUUGCUCAGUUUGGCCAGGCUGCCAGCUCUAAGACUCGAGGUGGUUUCAAACUGCUUCCAUUUAAGAAUGAUGGAGGCCACUCUGUUCUUGGGGACCUUCAAUACUUCCCCAGAUCUGUGCCUUGACACAAUCCUGUCUCAGAGCUCUAUGGACAAUUCCUUCGACCUCAGGACUUUGUUUUUACUCUGACAUGCACUGUCAACUGUGGGACCUUAUAUAGACAGUUGUGUGCCUUUCCACAUCAUGUCCAAGCAAUUGAAUAUACCACAGGUGGACUCCAAUGGAAACAGGAUGCACCGGAGCUCAAUUUAGAGUCUUCUAGCAAAGGGGCUAAAUACUUAUGUAAAUAAGGUAUUUCUGUUUUUUUUUUUUCUGUACAUUUUCAAACAUUUCUAAAAACCUGUUUUCACUUUGUCAUUACAGGGUAUUGUGUGUUGAUUGAUGACCACAUUUGUUAAUUUAAUCCAUUUUUGAAUACGGCUGUAACGUUAACAAAAUGGGGGAAAAGUCAAGGGGUCUGAAUACUUUCCGAACGCGCUGUAUACUGAAGACCCCACCCCAUAAGACUGAAUUCGAUUUUUCUCUUUAAGAGUUGAAUAACAGUAUAUUUCCCAAGUUUCAAAUAAAGACAUUUAGUUUAUGAAAUUGCUCCUAAAAUGAACACCCCUGUCCACUCCUCUGAUGGAGACAAAAAAAAUGCAGAACUGCUGGUGUCAAAUAUAUGAUCAACUAGUGUGGGUACUCCUGGGGCGGUGACCGUAUUACCACAACACCGGCUUUCUCCAAGCUCUGAUGCUGCUGACGGUCAUUAGUAGUCUACCAAGAUUGCUAACUGCUUGCUACUCAGCACUCAAUUGUCUCUCUAAUCACUCUGUCAUCAAUGCAAAUGUAUCAAAAAUGUAAUCAAACACUUCAUGAGAGCCCAUGAGCUACUGUUGCGCAACAUUUCUAUAGGCUAUGAAAUUACACGAGAAAACAGAGGAGGAUCCCAUCAGCUUUCUAUAGGCUAGGCCUACUAUAUUUAUUUCUCAUUAUCAUUUAUUUUGCUUCUCUUUACAACAGUAUAGCCUACCUGGCUGGCAUGAAAAUGAACCACAGGAAAAGCGUCCUCCAUUCACUAUUUAAGUCCAUAGAUGACAUGUAUUGUUGUCCCGUUGACCCUGUUUCCAUACAGGUGCAUGAUAAUGAUCCAUUCUAAAUCAAAACACAUUUCACAGAUAUAUUAUUUAGUAUAUGUAAAGACAAGAUUAAAUCAAGAAUAGUCUGAUGGGUGACAAUAUUAGCUUAUCACUAAUAUUGAUAGGCUGAUAUUGCAAGAAACAAUCCCUUUUUUUGUGAAUUGUUCUAAUCAUAGUCACACACCUCAUGUAGCCUAGCCCAUAGGUCUAUAUGUUUUAAUAAGGUUAGUAUCACACCUCAUGUAGCCUAGUCCAUAGGUCUAUAUGUUUUAAUAAGGUUAGUAUCACACCUCAUGUAGCCUAGUCCAUAGGUCUAUAUGUUUUAAUAAGGUUAGUAUCACACCUCAUGUAGCCUAGUCCAUAGGCCGAUAUGUUUUAAUAAGGUUAGUAUCACACCUCAUGUAGCCUAGCCCAUAGGUCUAUAUGUUUUGAUAAGGUUAGUAUCACACCUCAUGUAGCCUAGUCCAUAGGUCUAUAUGUUUUGAUAAGGUUAGUAUCACACCUCAUUUAGCCUAGUCCAUAGGCCUAUAUGUUUUAAUAAGGUUAGUAUCACACCUCAUGUAGCCUAGCCCAUAGGCCUAUAAGGUUAGUAUCACACCUCAUGUAGCCUAGUCCAUAGGCCUAUAUGUUUUGAUAAGGUUAGUAUCACACCUCAUGUAGCCUAGUCCAUAGGUCUAUAUGUUUUAAUAAGGUUAGUAUCACACCUCAUGUAGCCUAGCCCAUAGGUCUAUAUGUUUUAAUAAGGUUAGUAUCACACCUCAUGUAGCCUAGCCCAUAGGCCUAUAUGUUUUAAUAAUGUUAGUAUCACACCUCAUGUAGCCUAGCCCAUAGGCCUAUAUGUUUUAAUAAUGUUAGUAUCACACCUCAUGUAGCCUAGCCCAUAGGCCUAUAUGUUUUAAUAAUGUUAGUAUCACACCUCAUGUAGCCUAGCCCAUAGGUCUAUAUGUUUUAAUAAGGUUAGUAUCACACCUCAUGUAGCCUAGUCCAUAGGCCUAUAUGUUUUAAUAAGGUUAGUAUCACACCUCAUGUAGCCUAGCCCAUAGGUCUAUAUGUUUUAAUAAGGUUAGUAUCACACCUCAUGUAGCCUAGCCCAUAAGCCUAUAUGUUUUAAUAAGGUUUGUAUCACACCUCAUGUAGCCUAGCCCAUAGGUCUAUAUGUUUUGAUAAGGUUAGUAUCACAUCUAAAGUGGCCAAAUAUUUUCUUAAAAUGAAGUACCUUUAUCUGCUUUACAAGGGGGGUAGAGCCUAACUGGCAUACAUACUUAAGCAGCGCGUGAGUCUCAAGUUCGGGGAAGAACAUUUUCAGCAUAAAAAUGCACCUUUAUAAUAAAAGCAUUACAUGCAAAUAGCAUUUGAAAGUCACUUUUGAUAAUGGCUACUACCAUGUGUGCAUUGCUGCGCUUAUAAUGUGAUGAAAUAGCCUAAUAUAUUAUCACAUU